CAUGGGUAGUAUCUUUCAGUCAUGCCAUUCAGAAAAGUACCAUGAGCUAUCUGUGUGCUGUUUAGAUAUAAAGGGAUAGUGAAGAGGCAGAUGGCUAGACUGUGGGAGAGCAGACCUUGGUGGCCAGGUGUCAACAUAGCUAGAAAGGACGCUGCUGCAGGAAGCAGGUUCAGUGAUCUGAGUCUGUGGAAUAGACAGCAGGCGAAUUAGCAGAAGAAGGUUUGAAGAAACGCGUUCAUGCGUGGAUGUACAGGAGUCACGAAGUGUGUAAUUCAAGCAAGUACUGGAGAGCCAGCUCAUCUGCAUGGAGCAAUUUGCAACGGCAUCCUUGUUACAAACCACGAAAUCGAAGAUUGCUGGGCUGAGCUGAAAAUAGCUGACUUGGUACAAGGAAGAGGACUAAUUCUUAUGCAAAGCUCUCCACUCACAGCCUCUGAUUCAAAGAACAAUAGAAAGUUUGAUCCUUGAAACACCUGACCUUCUGACGCCUUUUCACUCUCCAGCCCAGAGCAGCCUUGGGUUUGAAUGAAAUGUGUAAGAACCAGAGAUGAGGUUCUGUAUUGCAAUAUGCUGUUUUGAUUACUGUGUCACAGUUGCAGUGAGUUCACAGCCUUCACAUUUUCGCAGGAAAAGCU
Long non-coding RNA from Ochotona princeps (American pika), 635 nucleotides. RefSeq lists it as uncharacterized. The transcript has 4 exons. The record is from RefSeq and is a predicted model, not a curated record. NCBI's taxonomy places the organism in Eukaryota, Metazoa, Chordata, Mammalia, Lagomorpha, Ochotonidae.